GACGAACGCUGGCGGCGUGCUUAACACAUGCAAGUCGAACGGAAAGGCCCUGCUUUUGUGGGGUGCUCGAGUGGCGAACGGGUGAGUAACACGUGAGUAACCUGCCCUUGACUUUGGGAUAACUUCAGGGAACUGGGGCUAAAACCGGAUAGGAGCUCCUGCUGCAUGGUGGGGGAUGGAAAGUUUCGGCGGUUGGGGCUGGACUCGCGGCUUAUCAGCUGGGUGGUGGGGUAGGGGCUUACCAAGGCUUUGACGGGUAGGCGGCCCGGGAGGGGGACCGGGCACAAUGGGACUGCGGGACGGACCAGUACCCUACCGGGGGCAAGGGGGGGGAAUAUUGCGCAACGGGGCGGAGCCCGGGAGGAAGACCCCCGGGUGGGGAAAACCGGCUUUGGGGUGUGAACCUCUUUCUGCGGGGAAGGAGGCGUAGUGACGGUAACUGGGUAAAAAGCCCCGGCUAACUACGUG
RNAcentral lists this ribosomal RNA (468 nucleotides) under uncultured bacterium. Its description in RNAcentral is "partial 16S ribosomal RNA". It matches the Rfam family "Bacterial small subunit ribosomal RNA", at positions 28 to 507 of the family's 1533-position model. The record is from RNAcentral.